This is a long non-coding RNA of Frieseomelitta varia, 666 nucleotides long. RefSeq lists it as uncharacterized. NCBI's taxonomy places the organism in Eukaryota, Metazoa, Arthropoda, Insecta, Hymenoptera, Apidae. The record is from RefSeq and is a predicted model, not a curated record. The transcript has 4 exons.
GAGGUGUUACUUUAGAGUAGUUGAAACGAUGGAAACUGUGUGUGUACACCUUUAUACUUUAUUUUAUUUUUUCCUUGAUUCGUUGCUUUUUUUUUUCGCGUCCCACCCCACCAUACAUCUUUCUAUCCCCUCCUUGAAACUUGUCCUCCCCCACCACACAGCCGACUACGUCGGCCGCGAGUCGCUUUCUCCGUUUAUCGUAGCGUAGCGGCCGAUAGCUGAUAGCGGUAGCUGGUACCUGGCGAACGCCUGGAGAACGGCGACGUCAGUCUGCGCCUGGUUGUUCGUUGUACGUAUCUGUACGCGCCUCGGUUACCGUAUCGGUCGUACCUUUUUUCGUUCGCAUUUUUCCCCCCUUUAUCCUUUUUUCCUCUUACUCUCGCCCGUCUUCUCUUUCACUCUCUCCGUCUUCCUAGUUUUCUUUCUUGAUUUUCGCUGUUCCUUCCGCUCGAUUCCGUUUUCACAAUUCGCUACUAGUUCGGGAGGGGGGAGAAAAAAGGCAGCUAGUGUGUCGUGCCUCGUUCGUCAGUUGUUCAGUGUAAUUGGUCCGAUGUUUGGUUUGGGAAGCAGGAAGGUGCUCAAAUAUUCAGCCAUCGACACGUCCUUUUCCAUCGACGUCGAGGACACCGUCACGUGCUUUUGCAGAAAAGCUCGACUAAAGGAGAA